RNAcentral lists this ribosomal RNA (482 nucleotides) under uncultured bacterium. RNAcentral's name for it is "partial 16S ribosomal RNA". It matches the Rfam family "Bacterial small subunit ribosomal RNA", at positions 30 to 507 of the family's 1533-position model. The record is from RNAcentral.
AUUGAACGCUGGCGGCAUGCUUUACACAUGCAAGUCGAACGGUAACAGGCCGCAAGGUGCUGACGAGUGGCGGACGGGUGAGUAAUGCAUCGGAACGUGCCCAGUCGUGGGGGAUAACUACUCGAAAGAGUAGCUAAUACCGCAUACGAUCUAUGGAUGAAAGCGGGGGACGGUAAGGCCUCGCGCGAUUGGAGCGGCCGAUGUCAGGUUAGGUAGUUGGUGGGGUAAAGGCUCACCAAGCCAACGAUCUGUAGCUGGUCUGAGAGGACGACCAGCCACACUGGGACUGAGCCACGGCCCAGACUCCUACGGGAGGCAGCAGUGGGGAAUUUUGGACAAUGGGCGCAAGCCUGAUCCAGCAAUGCCGCGUGCAGGAAGAAGGCCUUCGGGUUGUAAACUGCUUUUGUACGGAACGAAACGGCUCUGGUUAAUACCCGGGGCUAAUGACGGUACCGUAAGAAUAAGCACCGGCUAACUACGUG